Molecule: unclassified non-coding RNA, 377 nt
Filed under: fungal sp.
Lineage: Eukaryota; Fungi
Description: partial internal transcribed spacer region
Rfam family: Eukaryotic small subunit ribosomal RNA (bases 1-46)
Source: RNAcentral
AAGUCGUAACAAGGUUUCCGUAGGUGAACCUGCGGAAGGAUCAUUAACACGUAUCCAACGUUAAACCCCCCCGUGAAUAUUAAGCGUGCUCUUGCUGCCCGGUCAAUGGCCAGCAAUCCCUGGUAAAUCAUGUCGAACAGUAUUGAUUCAGGGACUUCUGCCCGACUGAGAAGUUACAGCGGCAAUAGAGCGCUUGAAGCAAGUGGUUUGGUUUCCCCUCAAAUUCACUUCAAUGAAUGAAAGUGUCAUUGAAGUGUGAUGGGGAGGACGCUUAACGAACACUGUAGGCCCCCUUAUCACCACAUGUCAGCGUAGGCCCUUCUGUCGUGGUUGGGCAUUAAAACGAACAACUGUUAACAAUGGAUAUCUUGGUUCUC